GAUGAACGCUGGCGGCGUGCCUAACACAUGCAAGUCGAGCGAACGGACGAGAAGCUUGCUUCUCUGAUGUUAGCGGCGGACGGGUGAGUAACACGUGGAUAACCUACCUAUCAGACUGGUAUAACUUCGGGAAACCGGAGCUAAUACCGGAUAAUAUUUUGAACCGCAUGGUUCAAAAGUGAAAGACGGUCUUGCUGUCACUUAUAGAUGGAUCCGCGCUGCAUUAGCUAGUUGGUAGGUUAACGGCUUACCAAGGCAACGAUGCAUAGCCGACCUGAGAGGGUGAUAGGCCACACUGGAACUGAGACACGGUCCAGACUCCUGCGGGACGCAGCAGUAGGGUAUCUGCCGCAGUAGGCGAAAACCUGACGGAGCAACGCCGCGUGAGUGAUGGAGGUCUUCGGAUCGUAAAGCUCUGUUAUUAGGGAAGAACAUAUGUGUAAGUAACUGUGCACAUCUUGACGGUACCUGAUCAGAAAGCCACGGCUAACUACGUG
Molecule: ribosomal RNA, 497 nt
Filed under: uncultured bacterium
Lineage: Bacteria
Description: partial 16S ribosomal RNA
Rfam family: Bacterial small subunit ribosomal RNA
Source: RNAcentral